CUAACUCAAAUUUGUAUGGAGUUGGAACGUUUGCCUACGUUUGCCGCUAGGGGCACUGUUCCAACUUCACACAAAUUUGAGUUA
Molecule: non-coding RNA, 84 nt
Organism: Bombyx mori (domestic silkworm)
Lineage: Eukaryota; Metazoa; Arthropoda; Insecta; Lepidoptera; Bombycidae
Source: Rfam